GACGAACGCUGGCGGCGUGCUUAACACAUGCAAGUCGAACGGAAAGGCCCUGCUUUUGUGGGGUGCUCGAGUGGCGAACGGGUGAGUAACACGUGAGUAACCUGCCCUUGACUUUGGGAUAACUUCAGGAAACUGGGGCUAAUACCGGAUAGGAGCUCCUGCUGCAUGGUGGGGGUUGGAAAAUUUCGGCGGUUGGGGAUGGACUCGCGGCUUAUCAGCUUGUUGGUGGGGUAGUGGCUUACCAAGGCUUUGACGGGUAGCCGGCCUGAGAGGGUGACCGGCCACAUUGGGACUGAGAUACGGCCCAGACCCCUACGGGAGGCAGCAGUGGGGAAUAUUGCACAAUGGGCGGAAGCCUGAUGCAGCAACGCCGCGUGCGGGAUGACGGCCUUCGGGUUGUAAACCGCUUUCGCCUGUGACGAAGCGUGAGUGACGGUAAUGGGUAAAGAAGCACCGGCUAACUACGUG
RNAcentral lists this ribosomal RNA (468 nucleotides) under uncultured bacterium. RNAcentral's name for it is "partial 16S ribosomal RNA". It matches the Rfam family "Bacterial small subunit ribosomal RNA", at positions 28 to 507 of the family's 1533-position model. The record is from RNAcentral.